UGGGGAAUAUUGCACAAUGGGGGAAACCCUGAUGCAGCGACGCCGCGUGAACGAAGAAGGUAUUCGUAUCGUAAAGUUCUGUCCUAUGGGAAGAUAAUGACAGUACCAUAGAAGAAAGCUCCGGCUAAAUACGUGCCAGCAGCCGCGGUAAUACGUAUGGAGCGAGCGUUGUCCGGAAUUAUUGGGCGUAAAGGGUACGCAGGCGGUUUAAUAAGUCGAAUGUUAAAGAUCGGGGCUCAACCCCGUAAAGCAGUGGAAACUGAUAAACUUGAGUAGUGGAGAGGAAAGUGGAAUUCCUAGUGUAGUGGUGAAAUACGUAGAUAUUAGGAGGAAUACCAGUAGCGAAGGCGACUUUCUGGACACAAACUGACGCUGAGGUACGAAAGCGUGGGGAGCAAACAAG
RNAcentral lists this ribosomal RNA (403 nucleotides) under bacterium. Its description in RNAcentral is "partial 16S ribosomal RNA". It matches the Rfam family "Bacterial small subunit ribosomal RNA", at positions 355 to 776 of the family's 1533-position model. The record is from RNAcentral.